Molecule: ribosomal RNA, 250 nt
Filed under: uncultured bacterium
Lineage: Bacteria
Description: partial 16S ribosomal RNA
Rfam family: Bacterial small subunit ribosomal RNA
Source: RNAcentral
UACGUAGGUGGCAAGCGUUAUCCGGAAUUACUGGCGUAAAGCGCACGCAGGCGGUCUUUUAAGUUUGACGUGAAAGCUCCCGGCUUAACUGGGAGAGGUCGUUGAAGACUGGAAGACUUGAGGCAAUGAGAGGGUGUAGAAUUCCCGGUGUAGUGGUGGAAUGCGUAGAUAUCGGGGGGAAUACCAGUGGCGAAAGCGGCACCCUAGCGUUAGCCUGACGCUCAUGUGCGAAAGCGUGGGAGCGAACGGG